GCUCUAGUGGUGCAAUUGGUUAGCACAUGGUACUUAUAAUGCUGAAGUUGUGAGUUCAAUUUUCACCUAGAGCA
This 74-nucleotide transfer RNA is filed under the name Alligator mississippiensis (American alligator). RNAcentral describes it as "tRNA-Ile (TAT) (tRNA-Ile-TAT-17-1)". It matches the Rfam family "tRNA". Rfam says of the family: Transfer RNA (tRNA) molecules are approximately 80 nucleotides in length. Their secondary structure includes four short double-helical elements and three loops (D, anti-codon, and T loops). Lineage: Eukaryota; Metazoa; Chordata; Crocodylia; Alligatoridae. The record is from RNAcentral.